GAGGUCAAGCCGGCAGUCUAUCUGUGGUAUAGCAGCCGCACACACCUUGUUGGAUUUAAACCUGUGGAUUUAUUUCCUGUGAGCGCCAGAGAUUGGCACUGGGUGGGGCUGGCACUGCUCCUCCUCCAGCUGGAGUGUUCCCUGCGGUGCCUCUUUGCGUGGGCCAAUAAGGUGCCUUAGCAGGUGAUUACUGCCCAACACACGGCUCUUUACACUACCCUCGACCAUGCCCUUGCUGCUCCUGUGACAGGAGGAAAAGCAGGAGGCGCAGGAGGAGGAGGAGAGGUGCAAAUUGAAGAAAGAAGAGAAGAAAGUGGAAUGACUGAAGGAACAAGAAAAGACGAUGCUGAUGAAACAGAAGAGGCAGAAAUAAAGGACGAUAAACACAAAAAGAAGAUAGCGUUUGAGAGUUCCAAUAAGGGUAUGGAAAGUAUAAAACAUCCUAUUCUUCCUCAUCCACCUCUCCUCUCAUCCACUCGCCUAUCGCAGGAGACAGAAAAUGCAUUACAGGUUCUUAGAAGGUGGAUAAGUGGAUACAGGAGUCACUACCACCCUACUUCUCUCCUCCAUGAGGCCCUCCUCUCUUCCACCUCCCUCCUGGGCGGGUGGAAGGAGUGGAAGAGAGUGGAGAGAAGCGAGAUGGAUUAUGUGGAGUAGGAGAAACAGGUGGAGGUGUUGGUGGAAGAGAUGGAUAGACUGUGUGAGAGAGCGGAAGAGGUGAAAGGCAAGAGUGAUGUGGAAGUGGGAGAUAGGAAGGGGAAUAAAGGAAGAACUGAUAAAUAGGUGAAUAGUGACAAUGGAGUAGAAAAGAAGGGAAAUGAAGGAAGUGAAAGGACAGAAAACGAUGAAGAUAAACCCAAAAUAAAAGGAAAUCUAAGUUACCCACCUCUUU
Scylla paramamosain (green mud crab) is the source of this 892-nucleotide long non-coding RNA. RefSeq lists it as uncharacterized. The transcript is spliced from 3 exons. Lineage: Eukaryota; Metazoa; Arthropoda; Malacostraca; Decapoda; Portunidae. The record is from RefSeq and is a predicted model, not a curated record.